AUUUAAAUAGCUUAAGUUAGAGCAAAGCAUUGAAGAUGCUUGGGUAGUAUACAGUAUUUUUAAAUA
RNAcentral lists this transfer RNA (66 nucleotides) under Stimulopalpus japonicus. RNAcentral describes it as "tRNA-Phe". It matches the Rfam family "tRNA". Rfam says of the family: Transfer RNA (tRNA) molecules are approximately 80 nucleotides in length. Lineage: Eukaryota; Metazoa; Arthropoda; Insecta; Psocodea; Amphientomidae. The record is from RNAcentral.